Molecule: transfer-messenger RNA, 393 nt
Filed under: Mycobacteriaceae
Lineage: Bacteria; Bacillati; Actinomycetota; Actinomycetes; Mycobacteriales
Also listed under: 1 other name
Description: Corynebacterium sp001875665 Standard tmRNA
Rfam family: transfer-messenger RNA
About the family: Bacterial tmRNA, also known as 10Sa RNA or SsrA, is named for its dual tRNA and mRNA-like properties. Its role is to liberate the mRNA from a stalled ribosome.
Source: RNAcentral
GGGGUCGAUUCUGGUUUCGACUUCAUCGACUAAGCCAGGGGAAGCGUGCCGGUGCAGGCUAGAGACCACCGUAAGCGUCGUAGCAACCAAUAAACGCAGAGAAGAACUCUCAGCGUGACUACGCCCUCGCUGCCUAAUUAGAAAGGUUCAGCGACCUGCGUGUCCGUCAGGCCGGGGAUGCCCCCGACCCGGUACCUGGCGUCGACUUAGGGGGGCUUGCCUUCCGGCCCUGUCAGUGGGGCCUCGGAAGGGACAUUUUUCACUGACUGGGCCCGUCAUCCGGACAUGUUUGCCUGAUCCGGAGGGCCGAGCAGAGGCAGUGCGCGAACUGCGCACGGAGAAGCCCUGGCGCGGUGGUGAAGGACCCGGGUUCAAUUCCCGGCGGCUCCACUG